This 253-nucleotide ribosomal RNA is filed under the name uncultured bacterium. RNAcentral's name for it is "partial 16S ribosomal RNA". It matches the Rfam family "Bacterial small subunit ribosomal RNA", at positions 524 to 776 of the family's 1533-position model. The record is from RNAcentral.
UACGGAGGGUGCGAGCGUUAUCCGGAAUUACUGGGUUUAAAGGGCUCGUAGGCGGCCAACUAAGUCGGAUGUGAAAUCCCCAGGCUCAACCUGGGAACUGCAUCCGAUACUGGAUGGCUUGAAUUCGGGAGAGGGAUGCAGAAUUCCAGGUGUAGCGGUGAAAUGCGUAGAUAUCUGGAGGAAUACCGGUGGCGAAGGCGGCACCCUGGACCGACAUUGACGCUGAGGAGCGAAAGCCAGGGGAGCAAACGGG